Molecule: non-coding RNA, 2145 nt
Organism: Bactrocera oleae (olive fruit fly)
Lineage: Eukaryota; Metazoa; Arthropoda; Insecta; Diptera; Tephritidae
Source: RefSeq, a predicted model, not a curated record
AAACUAUCAAAAUAGUAUAAAAACAAACGAGAAAAUCGAAAAUAAUAAUUAAUUAAAAAUUACAAGUUUGUGGUGAUACUCUUUGCUUUAUAUUCGUAUUCGUUGACGCGGAAACCUUUUAUCGCGUUAUUCAGCACUGUUGUCAUUUUUCGGCUUGAUUGUCGGGCGGUAAAUCGUUCUAUCUACUUUAACCAAUCACUGAUUCUAAUUACUCCAGCUACUUAAGGCAGAGAAUACAAAAUAAGUUUGCUAGGGGCUCAGCAUUACUACAUAUUUUUUUAUUCAACAAAAAUCCAAGCAGUCCAGCCCAGCCCAGAUCACUUGAAGUUUUCGGAACACUGAGGGAACGUAAUUUGACUGUCUGUCAACUCGAAGCAACUUACUCUCUCUCUACACGAAGAGAAGGCAAUCACACAAUUCAACCUCUGAUUCGCGAAGAAUAUUGUUACAUCACUCUCUAAUACCGUGAAAUAUCUUGUAUGGACUUCGAAUUGAAUAAAAACUCGCUGUACUUGAUGUCUCCAUACUGUGAAAAAUUGAAGGUUACAAAGAAGUAAUCAUAUUAUCUAUUGGAACACAAGAGAGUACCAUUGGACUUCUCACCAUGUCAUGAAUAUUGGUCCAAAGUCAAAGUUAUUGGUGGACUCCGUGCUAAUAUUCAUUGAGAUAUGACGUUGGAUCGAAAUUGGCAAUAGACUUGAGGAGAGCAUUUGUGCACAUCUUCAAAAAGGACGAAUAAUAUAAAAAUCAUAAAAGGAAACUAGUGGAAUAUAUCUUUAUCUGCCUCUUUCAUCGAUUUUCUAGUAAUACGAGUUCAAAAAUCUACUUAAUUUAAACUUCGUAAAUAUAUAAUCAACAAACUAUCAAUGGAGAAAAAGUUGUUCGCGACGAGACCCCUGACUAUAGUACAGAAAAGCUAGUGAGCCCUCCAUACAAAAAUACAUCUAGUUUUGGUAAUUACAAUACUUAAAAAGGUCAGAUAAAACCGGGAAAGAUCGAAAUCGGCCGAAAUGAGAGUUUGAGUAAUAUUAUUAUAUACUUAACGAGUUCAACGAAAGAGGUUUGUUGCUCUCAACAAUAUUUAGUUUCACCAAUAAAAUAGAAACGGCAUUAGGAUAAUCAACUUCACGUAUUUGAUUUAGAAAAUUAAUGAAGUCAAAAUAGUUUAAAAAAAUUAGACCAUCCUAUAACAUAAAGUAAUCUGGCAAGGGAAAAUUUAAAUUAAUUUAAAAUGAAGCUAAAGGCUAAUAUAACGGGUUUGAGAUUACUCUGAUUCAAUCCAGCAAUUGAUGAAAGCAUAGAGCUAUCUUAUAUUGUAUAAUAUAAAGUAUAUUUCUAAAUUGAAAAAAGUCCUGUUGAGAAGUUAGAAGAACAUUUAAAGUUAGUAAAAUUAUUUUCAAAAUUUUGAUAUCCUAAAGCUUCGCGUUUAUUUUUUUUCGGACAAUGGUGGUAGAAAGGGGUUUUAAGAGGGCCCUGAAAACAUUGCUACUGAAUAAAAAACUUUCGAAUUCCUACCAAAAAUGUAAAGAAAAAUACAUCACAGAGUUCCUUAUGUUCUUAAUGAAUCAUAAUAAUUUCGAAAUUUUUAUAACACACAUUUAUAGCCACAUUUCUCUUACCGUUCCUAAGCAUGGGUCUGCUACUUUCAAAUACUUAAUCUUCUUGCUUUUUAUUCCCUAUUUGUACCCAUGCGUGUUUCAUCAAAAUAAUAAAAACCGGUUAUUAGUCAGUUAGCCUUUCAUUGGCAAUUUAUGUUUCGUAUUCAGUGAAAUGAUAAAGAAACAGUAAAAGUCGUUGCGGUUAAAUCUUACUUAUUUUAGCAUAAAUUACAAUAUUCGCUUUGCCACUUAAAUUCUGAGCGUUAGUCAGAUCAUUAACCGAACACAGCAAAAACGAAUAAUAAAAUACUAAUGAGCUACAAACUAAGCUAAUUCUCGUAUACUAAAUAUAUCAGAACAACUGUUAAACUCUAUGUGUAAAAUAGCAAAGUAAUUUGUGUACCGUUCUUUUCUAAUUUAUAUGCCCCAAGCUCUAAUGAGAUUUUAGUAUUACAAAUUUAUAGGCCAACAUACAUCUAUGUAUGCUUGACAUCUAGUGGCAUAAUUAAAUUUAUAUAUUCACCUGUUUCCUCACACCGGGAAAUAU